Neopsephotus bourkii (Bourke's parrot) is the source of this 990-nucleotide long non-coding RNA. RefSeq lists it as uncharacterized. NCBI's taxonomy places the organism in Eukaryota, Metazoa, Chordata, Aves, Psittaciformes, Psittacidae. The transcript is spliced from 4 exons. The record is from RefSeq and is a predicted model, not a curated record.
GUCUCUUCCAGCCCUUCAUUUGAAUAGCCGUGUAAGUCCGAAGCAACCAGCAGCAAAACAGGGACAGGUCAUGGCCCAGGGCUUGUCGGUUCCCUGGGAACGAGAUGAACUGGGCUGGGUUUUCACCGAGUCCAGAAGGAGUUCCCAAAGAGUGGAUAUGGCAAAGGGAGAGCAAAGAGUGCGGGAAAUGCGACAGAGAUAAAUGGGAACAAAAAGUUUGCCUGAAGGAGGAUGGAAAAGUGUUUGCUCCAGGCUUUCUGUUGGCAAACAGCCGGGAAAGAGUGAGCAACAGUGCCAGAACUGGCCUUAGAGCACAGGAGAGCCUGAGAGCUGGGGCUGCUCAUCCUGGAGAGAAGAGCUCCAGGGGCUCUUGCCAGUGUAUACCAGUACCUGAAUAAAUAAAGAGCCAGACUCUUCCUGCUGGUGGUCAAAGUACGUGACACAAUUUGCCAUUAUCCCCAUUGGAGCAGAUGUAGGAUUCACAAGCAGCUACUAAGCCGGAAGGAAAAUAAACCAGAGCAAACCCGGAGGUGUCUGAAUUCUCCUUGUGUAAUGAAGAUUGGGAUGAAAAAGCUCUGGAACAAAGUUACCUGUUCUUCAGGAGUGGGAUCUGCCACAGGAAUGUUUGAUGUCCUGGUUCAACAGCUGCCCAGUGCAGUGCUGCAAUGUGUGAUUGUGACCCAGCUCUCUGACUGAACCACGCUCUGCAAUCCUCCAGGGCUGCUACUCAGAAAGCCAGUGCCAAGGAAGUGUUUUCCAAGGGAGGAAAAGAGAAAUGGGAGCAGUUCAACAGUUCCUAUGCUGGGCAUUCCACCAGAGCUACAACGCUAAGGACCAAGAACAACAGAGUUUUCAUGAAGACUACUGGAGUGUAUCACACCUAACUGACCUAUCACAGAAGAUAAAUCUAAGACCAGUAAGUACCAGCAAAGCAGUGAGCUAAAAACCUGUUACUGAGUAUUGAGUAACUCACGAGCUACUGCAGAAUAU